This is a long non-coding RNA of Oncorhynchus tshawytscha (Chinook salmon), 639 nucleotides long. NCBI's taxonomy places the organism in Eukaryota, Metazoa, Chordata, Actinopteri, Salmoniformes, Salmonidae. The record is from Ensembl.
AAUAUAGUUAAAGUAUACAUCAAUAUAUUUUAUAACUUUUUUCUGACAUUUAUUGAUCAAAAUACAGUCUUUGUAAAUGGAUUUCCAAAAGUAGAAAUGGUUACAAAUAAUAACAUUUUACUAAAACUCUCCUGUCUCUGUGUCAGUUUAAUGGUGUCAUCAUUUCAGUUUGGGUCUGUUGUGUUGAGGGUUUGGUAGGUGGAGUCUUGGGUUGUUGUGUUGAGGGUUUGGCAGGUGGAGUCUUGGGUUGCUGUGUUGAGGGUUUGGUAGGUGGAGUCUUGGGUUGUUGUGUUGAGGGUUUGGUAGGUGGAGUCUUGGGUUGCUGUGUUGAGGGUUUGGUAGGUGGAGUCUUGGGUUGCUAUGUUGAGGGUUUGGUAGGUGGAGUCUUGGGUUGCUAUGUUGAGGGUUUGGUAGGAGGAGUCUUGGGUUGUUGUGUCUGGAUUGGUGACUGGCCCUGUGGAACACAACAUAUAAAUCAUGUGUGUGUACGUGCAGUGGUGUGGUAGUGGUGUAGUAGUGUAGUGGUGUAGUAGUGUAGUAGUGUAGUGCUGUAGUAGUGUAGUAGAGGUGUAGUAGAGGUGUAGUGGUGUAGUGUAGUGUAGUGUUGUAGUAGUGUAUUAGAGGUGUAGUAGUGUAGUG